AAUAAAAUAAAAUAAAAAGUUAAAAAUACAGAUUCCUGUGCCACCAGAAGGGAUGAAUCUGACCCAGGAAACCAGACGACACAUUGUUGAGGGCCUGUGGUAUGUCCUCAGCUGCACACCGGAUUCAGGAAGACUGGGGCGCAGGCCUCAGGAGGCAAAAACACAAAGUCUCAUUUUGUCAUCCAGGCUGG
This is a long non-coding RNA of Sapajus apella (tufted capuchin), 191 nucleotides long. RefSeq lists it as uncharacterized. The transcript has 3 exons. The record is from RefSeq and is a predicted model, not a curated record. Lineage: Eukaryota; Metazoa; Chordata; Mammalia; Primates; Cebidae.